UAGGGAAUCUUCCGCAAUGGACGAAAGUCUGACGGAGCAACGCCGCGUGAACGAAGAAGGCCUUCGGGUCGUAAAGUUCUGUUGUUAGGGAAGAACAAGUACCAGAGUAACUGCCGGUACCUUGACGGUACCUAACCAGAAAGCCACGGCUAACUACGUGCCAGCAGCCGCGGUAAUACGUAGGUGGCAAGCGUUGUCCGGAAUUAUUGGGCGUAAAGCGCGCGCAGGUGGUUCCUUAAGUCUGAUGUGAAAGCCCACGGCUCAACCGUGGAGGGUCAUUGGAAACUGGGGAACUUGAGUGCAGAAGAGGAAAGUGGAAUUCCAAGUGUAGCGGUGAAAUGCGUAGAGAUUUGGAGGAACACCAGUGGCGAAGGCGACUUUCUGGUCUGUAACUGACACUGAGGCGCGAAAGCGUGGGGGAGCAAACAGGAUUAGAUAUCCUGGUAGUCCACGCCGUAAACGAUGAGUGCUAAGUGUUAGAGGGUUUCCGCCCUUUAGUGCUGCAGCUAACGC
This 513-nucleotide ribosomal RNA is filed under the name uncultured Bacillota bacterium. Its description in RNAcentral is "bacterial SSU rRNA". It matches the Rfam family "Bacterial small subunit ribosomal RNA", at positions 355 to 858 of the family's 1533-position model. The record is from RNAcentral. Lineage: Bacteria; Bacillati; Bacillota.